RNAcentral lists this small nuclear RNA (103 nucleotides) under Nicotiana sylvestris (wood tobacco). The record is from RNAcentral. RNAcentral also lists the same sequence under 1 other name. Lineage: Eukaryota; Viridiplantae; Streptophyta; Magnoliopsida; Solanales; Solanaceae.
GUCUAGUCCCUUUGGAUAAUUCGAUAAAUUGGAACAAUACAAAGAAGAUUAAUUAACAUGGUCCAUGUGCAAGGAUGGCAAUCGAGAAAUACUCCAAUUUUCU